UCGUGCUAGAUGGGGAGGUAGCGGCACCCUGUAACUUGCAAUCCGCUAUAGCAAGGUUGAAUUCCCUGCCGAGGGUUUGAUUUGUUUGGUCUGCCCCUCUCAAGUGGUGUUGAUAAUUUGGUCCUGCGCAAUAGAGAUCUCUGAACCCCGUCAGAUCCGGGAGGAAGCAGCGGUAAGGAGAACCCUUUAUGUGCCGCAGGCAAUCCGAGUUUGAGCUAACUGUUAGGGUAACGCAGGUGAUGAUAAUUCGAAGCAGGGUGCACGA
Molecule: signal recognition particle RNA, 265 nt
Filed under: Clostridiales bacterium
Lineage: Bacteria; Bacillati; Bacillota; Clostridia; Eubacteriales
Also listed under: 1 other name
Description: signal recognition particle sRNA large type
Rfam family: Bacterial large signal recognition particle RNA
About the family: The signal recognition particle (SRP) is a universally conserved ribonucleoprotein involved in the co-translational targeting of proteins to membranes.
Source: RNAcentral